UGAGAAUGUGCCUUCGGGAACCGUGAGACAGGUGCUGCAUGGCUGUCGUCAGCUCGUGUUGUGAAAUGUUGGGUUAAGUCCCGCAACGAGCGCAACCCUUAUCCUUUGUUGCCAGCGGUCCGGCCGGGAACUCAAAGGAGACUGCCAGUGAUAAACUGGAGGAAGGUGGGGAUGACGUCAAGUCAUCAUGGCCCUUACGACCAGGGCUACACACGUGCUACAAUGGCGCAUACAAAGAGAAGCGACCUCGCGAGAGCAAGCGGACCUCAUAAAGUGCGUCGUAGUCCGGAUUGGAGUCUGCAACUCGACUCCAUGAAGUCGGAAUCGCUAGUAAUCGUGGAUCAGAAUGCCACGGUGAAUACGUUCCCGGGCCUUGUACACACCGCCCGUCACACCAUGGGAGUGGGUUGCAAAAGAAGUAGGUAGCUUAACCUUCG
Molecule: ribosomal RNA, 437 nt
Filed under: Shigella flexneri
Lineage: Bacteria; Pseudomonadati; Pseudomonadota; Gammaproteobacteria; Enterobacterales; Enterobacteriaceae
Description: bacterial SSU rRNA
Rfam family: Bacterial small subunit ribosomal RNA
Source: RNAcentral